GGUUGGGAAAAAUAUCAAUAAAAUUUUAUUAGAUUUGUCAUUUGUUUCUAUUCGAACUGAAAAUUCGCAUAUAUGUAGUAAUCAUACGAAGGAAAUCAAAUAAAAAUAUGCAAUACCAGUUAAAACAAAUCAAAUCACAACUAAUAAUAGUUUUAAAGAACAUAUAUCUCACAUGAUCCGUCGUAUGUAUAUAAGGAAAUUGCCAAAAAUACCAUUUUCAAAAUACCUCUUUUCAUGUUUACACUAACCACUUUUACCCUCUUCUUUAACGAAGAGUAAAAAAUAUUUAUAAUCUUUUGAUUAACUUUGACAAAAAAAACAUAUGGUUAACUAAUUUAAACUUAAAACAUCAACUCUAAACCCUAAAUCAUCAACUGUAAACCCUAAACCAUGAAACAUCAACUCUAAAUCAUGAAUUCCGAAACAUCAACUCUAAACCCUAAACCCUAAACCUUCAAAUCUAAACCUUAAAACAUCAACUCUAAACCCUAGACGUAAACCCUAAAUCCUAAAUCUAAACUUAAAGCAUCAACUUUAAACCCUAAAUCAUCAACUCUAAACCCUAAACCAUGAAACAUCAACUCUAAACUCUAAACCCCGAAACAUCAACUCUAAACCCUAAACCUUCAAAUCUAAACCCUAAAACAUCAACUCUAAAUCCUAACCGUAAACCCUAAACCCUAUAUUUUUCUGAAAUUCGAACCUAAACCCUUAAACCUUAAACCUUCAAAUCUAAACCCUAAAACAUCAACUCUAAACCCUAAACAUAAACCCUAAACCCUAAAACCCCAAACCUUCAAAUCUAAACCCUAAAACAUCAACUCUAGUUUUAGGGUUUAGGGUU
Molecule: long non-coding RNA, 844 nt
Filed under: Brassica napus (rape)
Lineage: Eukaryota; Viridiplantae; Streptophyta; Magnoliopsida; Brassicales; Brassicaceae
Description: long non-coding RNA (BNAP_LNC023978)
Source: RNAcentral